UGGCUAACUCCUACGGGAGGCAGCAGUGGGGAAUAUUGCACAAUGGGCGCAAGCCUGAUGCAGCGACGCCGCGUGGGGGAUGAAGGCCUUCGGGUUGUAAACCCCUUUCAGCAGGGAAGAAGCGAAAGUGACGGUACCUGCAGAAGAAGCGCCGGCUAACUACGUGCCAGCAGCCGCGGUAAUACGUAGGGCACAAGCGUUGUCCGGAAUUAUUGGGCGUAAAGAGCUCGUAGGCGGUCUGUCGCGUCUGCUGUGAAAUCCCGAGGCUCAACCUCGGGCCUGCAGUGGGUACGGGCAGACUAGAGUGUGGUAGGGGAGACUGGAAUUCCUGGUGUAGCGGUGGAAUGCGCAGAUAUCAGGAGGAACACCGAUGGCGAAGGCAGGUCUCUGGGCCACAACUGACGCUGAGGAGCGAAAGCGUGGGGAGCGAACAGGAUUAGAUACCCGUGUAGUCCAGCUGG
This 461-nucleotide ribosomal RNA is filed under the name uncultured bacterium. RNAcentral describes it as "bacterial SSU rRNA". It matches the Rfam family "Bacterial small subunit ribosomal RNA", at positions 329 to 803 of the family's 1533-position model. The record is from RNAcentral.